CCUACGGGCGGCAGCAGUGGGGAAUAUUGGUCAAUGGCCGGAAGGCUGAACCAGCCAAGCCGCGUGAAGGACGAAGGUGCCAAGCAUUGUAAGCUUCUUUUGUCAAGGGACAAAAUCAGGCUCGAGAGCCUGAGCGAGGGUACUUUAAGAGAAAGCAUCGGCUAACUCCGUGCCAGAAGCCGCGGUAAUACGGAGGGUGCGAGCGGUAUCCGGAUUUAUUGUGGUAAGGGGGUGCCGAGGCGGGCUGUUAAGUCAGCGGUAAAAGCCCGGGGCUCAACCCCGGCGAGCCGUUGAAACUGGCGGUCUUGAGAUGUCGAGAGGUAUGUGGAAUGCGAAGUGUAGCGGUGAAAUGCGUAGAUAUUGCGCAGAAUUCCGAUGGCGAAGGCAGCAUACCGGCGGAGAGCUGACGCUGAGGCACGAAAGCGUGGGUAUCGAACAGGAUUAGAUACCCGGGUAGUC
This 459-nucleotide ribosomal RNA is filed under the name uncultured bacterium. RNAcentral describes it as "partial 16S ribosomal RNA". It matches the Rfam family "Bacterial small subunit ribosomal RNA", at positions 338 to 795 of the family's 1533-position model. The record is from RNAcentral.